Molecule: long non-coding RNA, 1526 nt
Organism: Anolis carolinensis (green anole)
Lineage: Eukaryota; Metazoa; Chordata; Lepidosauria; Squamata; Anolidae
Exons: 2
Source: RefSeq, a predicted model, not a curated record
AGUCCAGUCAUGUUUGACUCUGGGGGUUGGUGCUCAUCUCCAUUUCUAAGCCGAAGAGCCGGCGUUGUCCGUAGACACCUCCAAGGUCAUGUGGCCGGCAUGACUGCAUGGAGCACCGUUACCUUCCUGCUGGAGCGGUACCUAUUGAUCUACUCACAUUGGCAUGUUUUCGAACUGCUAGGUUGGCAGGAACUGGAGCUAACAGCGGCCGCUCCCGCCGCUCCCAGGGAUUGAACCUGGGACCUUUCGGUCUCCAGCUCAGUGCUUUAACGCACUUCACCACCGGGGCUCCUAGCAUAAUUCACUAUAAUUACCAGGGCCUCUUCCAAGCUUAAUAACAGCAGUGGGCGUGAGUAAAACAAACAAGUGGAAUGUUAUUAUGACACAUGUAAUAAAUAAUUAAAUUGAAUGUACAAUUGCAGCUCCCUAAACUAGUCAGCUCUUUCCCUUGAUGACUAUGCUGCCUCUAUCCCAGCACUUCACUGUCAGCAUGAUGCCCAACCCCCACCUGUAUCUCACAGAGACAGGCCUAUGGUUUUAUUACAUUGCUUUCCCCUGCAGUUCCUCUUCACAGUAUUCCCUGAGACAUGUUUGGCUUCCUUGAGCCAGGUUUGCUAGCAAGUAUUUUCACAGCAUGGACAUUGGAGAAGCUUGUGUCCAGUCUUUAAUCAGCUGCUGUUUUGUAGAGUUAUUUGUAGCAGAGCUUAAGAUAUUGAAGUACUUGUAGACAUCAAGAAAGGGCAAUUCCUCCAGUUGCCACAUGGGGGAAUGAGUGAUAACCAGGUCUGCAGGUACUACACACCACAUUUGCACACUGAUGCACUUGGACACAUGUUGUACCUUUUCUUCUUUGUUUACCAAUAUGUUCUUUUGUUUGCUCACGCACAAACUGUAUGCACACCCAAAUCCCACCCCGAUAUCUUCCCAUUCAGAAAAGAGAAGGUUCUAAGGUCCUUUCCCACAAUGCUUCUUUGAGAAGUCCAGCAUAAUUUAGAGCUGAUUUUUUCUUCUUCUUCAUUAAGAUCUGAUCAUUGUUUCUAAUCUGGCUGUUGUUUUUGUUUCCUCCACCAGUAUUAGAUUUCUGUCUCCUGUGUUACAAGUCAUUUUAAUCUUGAUUACUCUGGAACUAAUCAGUAUCUAUACAGUUUGUGAAAAAAAUGUUUCAGACUAUCAGCAAUACCUAAACCACAUGGUGAUGAUGAGGAUGAUGAUGAUGAUGAUGAUGAUGCAUGAACUGAAGAGAGUCGUAGUGCAGCACAAGCAUCGUCCUGUUCAUGCCCCAACUAGGAGAAUACUGUGGAGCUGAUGUUUCUGUCUUUUGCAGCACUCCUACUUAUCCCUCCUCCUCCACUUUAGUUGUCGUUUAAGACUUCAAAAAGGAUCCAGGGCAUGUUGAGAAAGUUCAUUAUGUACUAUAUUUGUUGGAUGGGGCUUUUUAAAAUAACAACAACGCUUUGAAGUAGAUUGCAAGAUAAAACCUUUUCUCUCAGUGUUCUGAUCCUAAUAAAAAUUAAUCCUAGCCAAAU